This 254-nucleotide ribosomal RNA is filed under the name uncultured bacterium. RNAcentral's name for it is "partial 16S ribosomal RNA". It matches the Rfam family "Bacterial small subunit ribosomal RNA", at positions 650 to 902 of the family's 1533-position model. The record is from RNAcentral.
AGGAGAGGAAAGCAGAAUUCCUGGUGUAGCGGUGAAAUGCGUAGAAAUCAGGAGGAAUACCAGUGGCGAAGGCGGCUUUCUGGACUGACCCUGACGCUGAGGUGCGAAAGCGUGGGUAGCAAACAGGAUUAGAUACCCUGGUAGUCCACGCCGUAAACGAUGGAUACUAGGUGUGGGAGGUAUCGACCCCUUCCGUGCCGCAUCUAACGCAAUAAGUAUCCCGCCUGGGGAGUACGGUCGCAAGGCUGAAACUC